Biomphalaria pfeifferi is the source of this 643-nucleotide non-coding RNA. NCBI's taxonomy places the organism in Eukaryota, Metazoa, Mollusca, Gastropoda, Planorbidae. The record is from the annotation of a GenBank genome assembly.
GAACACAAAAUACAGUAAGUUUUUUUAUAGGUGAACACAAAAUACAGUUUUUCGUGUCAUGAGAUUUAAAGCCUUUUUAAACAAAAAGCUUUAACUUUUAAAAUUUUAAUACAUGUACCGGUAAUUAAUAGUUUUACAAAUAAAUGAUAUUAAAGAAAUUACUUCUAAGUUGUUUUUUUUAAACAUUAUGUCAUACCAUAACAUAAUUUUGUGUUCAUAUAUGUUUGAAUGAUCUAUUCUUAAUGUUACAAAAUAUAGAAUGAAACCAUUUUUUUUUAAACCCCAUAUUUAUAAUAAACACAAAUAAUUCAUUCAUCUUCAAAGCAGAUUUUUUUUUAAAUUAGGCUAGUUGAGACCAUGAUCCAAAGAGAUAAAAUUCAGUCUCCCUAAAAAAAAUUAGUCCAUUAGAUUGUCUUGAAUAUUUUGUUUAAAUGUUAUAGAAGAUUGGGAAAAUGGGGGUGGGAGUAAAUUUCACAUAAUUAUGUUUUUUUUUAGCUUUGAAACUAAGGUGGUUUCUAAUAAUGUUCAUCAUUUAUCUUUUUUAAUUAAUUUUUAUUUUUACAGAGCUCCACUUUUUUUUUUGUCUUUGUAAUGUUACCUCAAAAUAUUUUGUUAAACAUGCAAAUAAAACUAUCAAAAUCAU